Molecule: ribosomal RNA, 424 nt
Filed under: Enterococcus sp. oral taxon A78
Lineage: Bacteria; Bacillati; Bacillota; Bacilli; Lactobacillales; Enterococcaceae
Description: bacterial SSU rRNA
Rfam family: Bacterial small subunit ribosomal RNA
Source: RNAcentral
GACGAACGCUGGCGGCGUGCCUAAUACAUGCAAGUAGAACGCUGAAGUAAGAGCUUGCUCUUACGGAUGAGUUGCGAACGGGUGAGUAACACGUGGGGAACCUACCUUCUAGCGGGGGAUAACACAUAGAAAUGUGUGCUAAUACCGCAUAAUAGUAUUUGAUGCAUAUCAGAUAUUUGAAAGGCGCAAUUGCGUCACUAGAAGAUGGCCCCGCGGUGCAUUAGCUAGUUGGUGAGGUAACGGCUCACCAAGGCAAUGAUGCAUAGCCGACCUGAGAGGGUGAUCGGCCGCACUGGGACUGAGACACGGCCCAGACUCCUACGGGAGGCAGCAGUAGGGAAUCUUCGGCAAUGGACGCAAAGUCUGACCGAGCAAACGCCGCGUGAGUGAAGAAAGGUUUUUCGGAUUCGUAAAAACUUCUGUU